RNAcentral lists this ribosomal RNA (253 nucleotides) under uncultured bacterium. RNAcentral describes it as "partial 16S ribosomal RNA". It matches the Rfam family "Bacterial small subunit ribosomal RNA", at positions 524 to 776 of the family's 1533-position model. The record is from RNAcentral.
UACGUAGGGCGCAAGCGUUGUCCGGAAUUAUUGGGCGUAAAGAGCUCGUAGGCGGUUUGUCGCGUCUGCUGUGAAAACCUGAGGCUCAACCUCGGGCUUGCAGUGGGUACGGGCAGACUAGAGUGCGGUAGGGGUGACUGGAAUUCCUGGUGUAGCGGUGGAAUGCGCAGAUAUCAGGAGGAACACCGGUGGCGAAGGCGGGUCUCUGGGCCGAUACUGACGCUGAGGAGCGAAAGCGUGGGGAGCAAACAGG